CCUACGGGCGGCUGCAGUGGGGAAUAUUGCACAAUGGGCGCAAGCCUGAUGCAGCCAUGCCGCGUGUGUGAAGAAGGCCUUCGGGUUGUAAAGCACUUUCAGCGGGGAGGAAGGCGUUAAGGUUAAUAACCUUGGCGAUUGACGUUACCCGCAGAAGAAGCACCGGCUAACUCCGUGCCAGCAGCCGCGGUAAUACGGAGGGUGCAAGCGUUAAUCGGAAUUACUGGGCGUAAAGCGCACGCAGGCGGUCUGUCAAGUCGGAUGUGAAAUCCCCGGGCUCAACCUGGGAACUGCACUCGAAACUGGCAGGCUAGAGUCUUGUAGAGGGGGGUAGAAUUCCAGGUGUAGCGGUGAAAUGCGUAGAGAUCUGGAGGAAUACCGGUGGCGAAGGCGGCCCCCUGGACAAAGACUGACGCCCAGGUGCGAAAGCGUGGGGAGCAAACAGGAUUAGAUACCCCUGUAGUC
RNAcentral lists this ribosomal RNA (465 nucleotides) under uncultured Klebsiella sp. Its description in RNAcentral is "bacterial SSU rRNA". It matches the Rfam family "Bacterial small subunit ribosomal RNA", at positions 338 to 795 of the family's 1533-position model. The record is from RNAcentral. Lineage: Bacteria; Pseudomonadati; Pseudomonadota; Gammaproteobacteria; Enterobacterales; Enterobacteriaceae.